RNAcentral lists this ribosomal RNA (467 nucleotides) under uncultured bacterium. RNAcentral's name for it is "partial 16S ribosomal RNA". It matches the Rfam family "Bacterial small subunit ribosomal RNA", at positions 29 to 507 of the family's 1533-position model. The record is from RNAcentral.
AUGCACGCUGGCGGCGUGCUUCACCCCUGCAAGUCGCACGGAAAGGCCCAAGCUUGCUUGGGUACUCGAGUGGCGAACGGGUGAGUAACACGUGGGUGAUCUGCCCUGCACUUCGGGAUAAGCCUGGGAAACUGGGUCUAAUACUGGAUAGGACCACUUCUUGGAUGGUGUGGUGGAAAGUUUUUUCGGUGUGGGAUGAGCUCGCGGCCUAUCAGCUUGUUGGUGGGGUAAUGGCCUACCAAGGCGUCGACGGGUAGCCGGCCUGAGAGGGUGUACGGCCACAUUGGGACUGAGAUACGGCCCAGACUCCUACGGGAGGCAGCAGUGGGGAAUAUUGCACAAUGGGCGCAAGCCUGAUGCAGCGACGCCGCGUGGGGGAUGACGGCCUUCGGGUUGUAAACUCCUUUCGCUAGGGACGAAGCGUUUUUGUGACGGUACCUGGAGAAGAAGCACCGGCUAACUACGUG